This 800-nucleotide ribosomal RNA is filed under the name uncultured bacterium. Its description in RNAcentral is "bacterial SSU rRNA". It matches the Rfam family "Bacterial small subunit ribosomal RNA", at positions 8 to 802 of the family's 1533-position model. The record is from RNAcentral.
AGAGUUUGAUCAUGGCUCAGAACGAACGCUGGCGGCGCGCCUAAUACAUGCAAGUCGAGCGAGAAGGUGUAGCAAUACACUUGUAAAGCGGCGAACGGGUGAGGAAUACAUGGGUAAUCUACCAUCGAGUGGGGAAUAACCAACCGAAAGGUUGGCUAAUACCGCGUACGCCUCCGGGUCUUCGGGUUCGGAGGGAAAGCUGCACUGUGAGUGUAGCGCUCUUUGAUGAGCUCAUGUCCUAUCAGCUUGUUGGUAGGGUAACGGCCUACCAAGGCUUUGACGGGUAGCUGGUCUGAGAGGACGAUCAGCCACACUGGCACUGCGACACGGGCCAGACUCCUACGGGAGGCAGCAGUAAGGAAUAUUGCGCAAUGGGCGAAAGCCUGACGCAGCGACGCCGCGUGGGGGAUGAAGGUCUUCGGAUUGUAAACCCCUUUCGGGAGGGAAGAUGGAGCGAGCAAUCGUUCGGACGGUACCUCCAGAAGCAGCCACGGCCAACUUCGUGCCAGCAGCCGCGGUAAUACGAAGGUGGCAAGCGUUGUUCGGAUUCACUGGGCGUACAGGGUGUGUAGGCGGUUUGGUAAGCCUUCUGUUAAAGCUUCGGGCCCAACCCGGAAAGCGCAGAGGGUACUGCCAGGCUAGAGGGUGGGAGAGGAGCGCGGAAUUCCCGGUGUAGCGGUGAAAUGCGUAGAGAUCGGGAGGAAGGCCGGUGGCGAAGGCGGCGCUCUGGAACAUUUCUGACGCUGAGGCUCGAAAGCGUGGGGAGCAAACAGGAUUAGAUACCCUGGUAGUCCACGCCU